This 245-nucleotide ribosomal RNA is filed under the name uncultured bacterium. RNAcentral describes it as "partial small subunit ribosomal RNA". It matches the Rfam family "Bacterial small subunit ribosomal RNA", at positions 26 to 285 of the family's 1533-position model. The record is from RNAcentral.
AGAAUCAACGCUGGCGGCGUGCCUAACACAUGCAAGUCGAACGAGAAAGUGGAGCAAUCCAUUAGUGAAGUGGCGCACGGGUGAGUAACACGUGACUAACCUACCCUUGAGUGGGGGAUAACCUAGAGAAAUCUGGGCUAAUACCGCAUAAUACCUUCGGGUCAAAGGAGCAAUUCGCUUAAGGAGGGGGUCGCGGCAGAUUAGUUAGUUGGCGGGGUAAUGGCCCACCAAGACAGUGAUCUGUA